This 2056-nucleotide unclassified non-coding RNA is filed under the name Apis florea (little honeybee). RNAcentral's name for it is "uncharacterized LOC105735511, transcript variant X4". Lineage: Eukaryota; Metazoa; Arthropoda; Insecta; Hymenoptera; Apidae. The record is from RNAcentral.
AGUUUUGCACGAACUUCCGAUCCCUCUGGUGGCAUUAGCCCGAUUAUACGUGAACGCAAUACGCAUGCGCAAAUAUGUGUGUAGAAGAACGUAGAAGUUUCGCGAAACCGGUGCCACUUCAGCCCGGAAAACGAUUAUUAGUACGGGACACGCCGCCACUUUGUAUGCGUGGUUCGUUUCGAGAGGGAAAGUUACGUUAUUUUCGGAUGUCGUCUCUCGUACUCACCUGGCACACGUUUUGCGCGAAAGUCUUCGUAACGCUUUGAUGCUUUGUCGAGGAGUUUAAUCGCUGUAACUCGAGAUACGUAGCGUUUGGAAACGCCAAUGGAUGGCUAUGCUCAAACGAAUGUGCUUGUGCAAUGUUCAGCUACUUUGAAUUAUAGGAGAAAUUUGCUUAGAACUUUGAGAGAGACUUAUUUUCGAAUAAAGUUUACUUUCAGAUUAUUUGGUAAUAAUUCAGUUAGAUAGCGGAUAAAUUUUUAGGUUAGCUUGUGCGGAAAUUUGUAUCGAUGUAAACACGAAGGUUUCUCUUAUUCUUCAAUUCAAAAAUUCUUUUAAUAAGAACUAAAAUCGCAUACACAAAUCUUGUAGCGAGAACGCUAAUUUUAAAAUUAAAUCGAGAAAUCCAACUAAGGCGAAAGUAACCACAAAAUCGCAAGAGUUAAUCGCUACGUUCCAAGAAAAUCGGUUCCUUGGGUGUCGUACGACAGAACCGACAGUAGCCUUCUCUCUCCGAGGAUGGUCAUGCACGGUGAGUUUACGAUCAAGAAAGGAACGAGGGAAAGAGAAGAGGAGGAUGUUUUAUGUAUUCGUUGCACGAGCGCCGUUUAUUGUUACACCACACCUAACGGCCAGGCCCGAAAUUGAUGACAAUUGCGCGCUGGAAAGGAACACGCCGCGGAUGAAUCAUCUCCUGCGUUCUUUUCCUCCCUGUGCCCCGACCUCUUUGUCUUUUCUGGGACCAAUGACUCGACCAUGUACCAGAAUUAACCGUGAUUUCUCCGGAAGACAGGAUCGAAAACGUCGGCUCUAUUUAGCCCUGUCAUCGUAUGUCAAUUAUACGAAUCUCUGUUGGAUCAGUUUAGUAUGGUAUGUUAGCUUUGAUUAUUUUUCUUUGUCGUUAAUCUUCUCAUGAACAUAUCAUUUUUAAUUGCAAAUAAUUUAACCGCAAAAAAAUUCAAAAGCAUCAACUUUACAACAAACAUAUAUUAAUCUGAGGAUCGACACGUACGGUAUUAAAAUCGAAGUCAGCUAUAUCCACGAAACUCUUUUAAACCGAAUAGGUCAAUGAUGUGUCGUAUCGUGUUUACGUCUCGGAAGAAAGAACAGGAACGUCCACGAAAGAAGGUGAAAUGGAAGAAAAGAAAAGAGGACUCGACGAUAGCUGGCGCGAUGAUACGAUCUCUCAUCAGCAAUAUGAAGCUAACAAAGCUCGACUGUACUUUUGCUUUCUUUAUGCGAGACAAAAGCACGUUUGCCGCGGGAAUUCGACAGCGGUUCCGAUUAAAAAAUUACGUUCGACGCCGAUAAAUAUUUUAUCCCAGAUUAAAUGGAAAAUCAUGUUGGCCGGUGCCCAUUGUCCAAUCUACGAUCCUUGUUCACUUUCGCGUUGUCGUCACCACCGUGCUCGUCGUCGUCGUCGUCGUCGUCGUCGUCGCCGUCGUCGUGGUUCUCGUCGUCAUGAUUCCUCUUUGCCCGUUUCCUCUUUGUCCUCGAUCGACGAUUCCCGAGGUCCUUUAAUAACGACCAUCGGUGAUUUAUCGACAACGCCAGGAAGAGUGGUCCGCCGCAGCGCCAGAUUCCCAGAUAGAUGGACACGGUUGGGAACAGGUAUAAGUACAUCGACCUCCGAUCGAUUUUAUCCCGUGCCUACGGCUUUUCCUCCGUGGCUGCCUUCCGCUUAACAUUUUCAUUUCGUGAUUCGAUUAACUCGAUUUGCAUCACCGGUAAAAAUUAAAGAUGCAUCCUUAUAAUGAAAACUUACGUGAAAUUCGUUGGUCCGGUUUAAUCUGAUAAAUUGCGAGGUAAUCUCGUUAAUAAUAUUUAAUCCCUGUUU